RNAcentral lists this ribosomal RNA (121 nucleotides) under Bifidobacterium breve. Lineage: Bacteria; Bacillati; Actinomycetota; Actinomycetes; Bifidobacteriales; Bifidobacteriaceae. The record is from RNAcentral.
UUUGCGGCGGCCAUGGCCCAGGUGAGACGCCCGGUCCCAUUCCGAACCCGGAAGCUAAGGCCUGGCACGGCGAUGGUACUGCACCCGACAGGGUGUGGGAGAGUAGCACGCCGCCGCACCC